Molecule: ribosomal RNA, 460 nt
Filed under: uncultured bacterium
Lineage: Bacteria
Description: partial 16S ribosomal RNA
Rfam family: Bacterial small subunit ribosomal RNA
Source: RNAcentral
CCUACGGGACGCAGCAGUGAGGAAUAUUGGUCAAUGGACGCAAGUCUGAACCAGCCAUGCCGCGUGCAGGAAGACGGCUCUAUGAGUUGUAACCUGCUUUUGUACGAGGGUAAACGCAGAUACGCGUAUCUGUCUGAAAGUAUCGUACGAAUAAGGAUCGGCUAAUUCCGUGCCAGCAGCCGCGGUAAUACGGAGGAUUCAAGCGUUAUCCGGAUUUAUUGGGUUUAAAGGGUGCGUAGGCGGUCGGAUAAGUUAGAGGUGAAAUCCCGAGGCUCAACUUCGGAAUUGCCUCUGAUACUGUUCGGCUAGAGAGUAGUUGCGGUAGGCGGAAUGUAUGGUGUAGCGGUGAAAUGCUUAGAGAUCAUACAGAACACCGAUUGCGAAGGCAGCUUACCAAGCUACUUCUGACGUUGAGGCACGAAAGCGUGGGGAGCAAACAGGAUUAGAUACCCUAGUAGUC